CCCUUAGAGUUUGAUCCUGGNNNNNGAUGAACGCUGGCGGCGUGUCUAAGGCAUGCAANUCGAGUGGGUUUAGACCCACGGCAAACGGGUGCGUAACACAUUGGUAACUUAUCCCGAAGUCAUGAAUAAGCCUGCGAAAGCGGGUCUAAUACAUGAUGGAAGCGAGGGGACAAAAGUCAUUCUCGCUUAAAGCUUGUCCUGCAAAGGAACUUGCGCUUCGGGAAAGGCCUAUGGCUUAUCAGCUUGUUGGCGAGGUAACGGCUCACCAAGGCAAUGACGAGUAGCGGGUGUGAGAGCAUGGCCCGCCUCACUGGGACUGAGACACUGCCCAGACUCCUACGGGAGGCUGCAGUCGAGAAUAUUCCCCAAUGGCCGAAAGGCUGAGGGAGCGACGCCGCGUGUAUGAAGACGCCCUUCGGGGUGUAAAGUACUUUUAACCGGGACGAAACAAUGACGGUACCGGUUGAAUAAGGGGCUGCUAAACUCGUGCCAGCAGCAGCGGUAAUACGAGUGCCCCAAGCGUUAUCCGGAUUUAUUGGGCGUAAAGCGUACGUAGGCGGUUUAUCGCAUCUCCUGUUAAAUCUCGAGGCUCAACCUCGAGGCCGCGGGAGAGAUGGCUAAACUAGAGACCGGGAGAGGCAAGUGGAAUUGCUGGUGUAGGGGUUAAAUCCGUUAAUAUCAGCAAGAACACCUAAUGUGANNACAGCUUGCUAGAACGGUUCUGACGCUAAGGUACGAAAGCGUGGGGAGCGAAUGGGAUUAGAUACCCCAGUA
Molecule: ribosomal RNA, 774 nt
Filed under: uncultured bacterium
Lineage: Bacteria
Description: bacterial SSU rRNA
Rfam family: Bacterial small subunit ribosomal RNA
Source: RNAcentral